RNAcentral lists this ribosomal RNA (540 nucleotides) under Trypanosoma evansi. RNAcentral's name for it is "SSU rRNA". The stretch from base 154 to 540 matches the Rfam family "Eukaryotic small subunit ribosomal RNA", at positions 1128 to 1482 of the family's 1831-position model. The record is from RNAcentral. Lineage: Eukaryota; Euglenozoa; Kinetoplastea; Trypanosomatida; Trypanosomatidae.
UGCCGACCCCCGGCCCCAAUUUAUUUAUCAAUUUACGUGCCUAUUCUAUCACCCCCGGUUCCCUCUUUUGAGGUUCUUCCGGGGUUUUUUACGGGAAUAUCCUCAGCACGUUUCUUAAUUCUUCUCGCGAAAGCUUGGMGGUUACAGUCUCAGGCGGGAGUACGKUCGCAAGAGUGAAACUUAAAGAAAUUGACGGAAUGGCACAACAAAASGUGGAGCGUGCGGUUUAAUUUGACUCAACAAGGGGAACUUUACCAAAUCCGGACAGGGUGAGGRUUGAAAGAUGGAGUGUUCUUUCUCGAUCCCCUGAAUGGUGGUGCAUGGCCGCUUUUGGUCGGUGGAUUGAUUUGUUUGGUUGAUUCCGUCAACGGACGAGAUCCAAGCUGCCCAGUAGGUGCCGGGAUUGUCCACACAGGACAGCAGUCCCUCCGGCGGGGAUUUUUUCCCCAACGGUGGUCGUCAUCCUUCUUUUUACAGGCCCCUUCUCUGCGGGAUUCCUUGCUUUUCGCGCAAGGUGAGAUUUUGGGCAACAGCAGGUCA